Long non-coding RNA from Trematomus bernacchii (emerald rockcod), 421 nucleotides. RefSeq lists it as uncharacterized. The transcript is spliced from 3 exons. The record is from RefSeq and is a predicted model, not a curated record. NCBI's taxonomy places the organism in Eukaryota, Metazoa, Chordata, Actinopteri, Perciformes, Nototheniidae.
CAAAAUGUUGGGUGCUAAGAACUUUGAUUGAAGAAAUGAGGUGGUACUGCAAGAGCCUGUUAAUGAUUUACAGACGUUGUCCUCGCAGUCAGUCGAAGAGACGGAGACAAGCAGCACCCAACAGCGCUCCAUGAUGCUUCUCCACACAGAUGGAAAACACCUUCAAACUCAUCUCAGAACUCUCAGUGUUUUGGUUUUCCAUCUUCUCCUAACACACUACUGUAGAGGUCAGUCUCAGCUGAUUGGCUCCUCUCAGCCAAUAGUAGCAAACCUUGGUGAAGACAUCAUUUUGCCGUGUUAUCUGGAGCUGGGGGUAAAUGCUGCCAAAAUGACGUUUGAGUGGACGAGGCCCGACCCGAACCCAGAUUCGUUCAUGUUUGGCACACUGGUCAGACACUAAAGGAUAAAAGAAACAACAUGU